GAUGAACGCUGGCGGCGUGCCUAAUACAUGCAAGUCGAGCGAAUGGAUUAAGAGCUUGCUCUUAUGAAGUUAGCGGCGGACGGGUGAGUAACACGUGGGUAACCUGCCCAUAGGACUGGGAUAACUCCGGGAAACCGGGGCUAAUACCGGAUAAUAUUUUGAACUGCAUGGUUCAAAAUUGAAAGGCGGCUUCGGCUGUCACUUAUGGAUGGACCCGCGUCGCAUUAGCUAGUUGGUGAGGUAACGGCUCACCAAGGCAACGAUGCGUAGCCGACCGGAGAGGGUGAUCGGCCACACUGGGACUGAGACACGGCCCAGACUCCUACGGGAGGCAGCAGUAGGGAAUCUUCCGCAAUGGACGAAAGUCUGACGGAGCAACGCCGCGUGAGUGAUGAAGGCUUUCGGGUCGUAAAACUCUGUUGUUAGGGACGAACAAGUGCUAGUUGAAUAAGCUGGCACCUUGACGGUACCUAACCAGAAAGCCACGGCUAACUACGUGCCAGCCGCCGCGUAA
RNAcentral lists this ribosomal RNA (514 nucleotides) under uncultured bacterium. RNAcentral's name for it is "partial 16S ribosomal RNA". It matches the Rfam family "Bacterial small subunit ribosomal RNA", at positions 28 to 522 of the family's 1533-position model. The record is from RNAcentral.